GCUUGUUAUAAGCGUAUAGACUCAUCAGACUGCUCCGUCCUUUUAAACUGGGGACCCUGCUGCCCCCCAGGUAGUCAUCAGCUAUUCAUAAUUGAUUUGGGGUAACUGAGUCAGUCGGUCAUGUGGGAACCUCUCGACACUCGGGAAUGAGAAAAGAAACACGUGGAGCAACGAGAUGUACAAAAUGCACCCGCUCCCGGGACCCCGGCAGCCGUGAAGCCUGUUACCAGUGGGAUGAGCGCUGGCUAGCUCCUAAUCCCACCUGUGGACCUGCUGCCGGUUUGCCGUUUGGGCCUUCUCUGGGUCUGUUCUGACCCAGAACUAGGGACUUGGGCUGGAUGACCUCUAAGGCCCUUCCCAUGUCUGAAAUGCAAUUUUUAAAUCUGUUGUUCAGACUUCAGCUCUGAGCUCUGAAGUCGUCUAGGUUCCGUCAUAAGUGAGCUUGGAUCCAUUUGGUUUGUGCAGAACAUCAGGCUAGCGAAACUCAACCCCUUCAGAGAGUGUCACACGUGUCAAGGAGGAUCCCAGGGUUUCUGGUGGUCGUGGGGCUGGGUGGAUUUGAUUGUGGAUCUUGGAAAGAUUUGUUUUCACUAAAAUGUGAGAGACUCCUUCCUCAGCUGUUUGGAGAAGGAACUUUGUGAAAAGGCAGGCAAAAUGCCCUUGAAGGGAAGCCCCAUAUAGAAGUCUGUUUCCAGGCCAGGGCUCAGCGAGCAGUUUGGGAUGAUGUCCAACUCGGGGACCUGAUUCUUUACUGGGUCGGACCCCGCUCCAGGUUGCUGCCCUGCAGCCUGAUGUGAAGGGGUGGGGCGGGGAACUGCUCCGCAGAACCCUGAGUGCCCAGACCAGGCAGCGACGAGCCCAUGGGCAUCACCCCAGCUCAGCCCUUCUCAGCAGCAUCUCCCCAGGGCACUAACCCUGCUGUCCUGCGGAGGUCUUCUGGGUCCAUACACCCUGUUUCCUUCUCGAGUUGACCAAAACCUCGGGAUCUGUGAGACGGCGCCUCCCCACAAGUCCUUGACGACCAGAUCCACCUGGGGUGCAUCCCAGGCAGCCAGACCUGAGUUCUCGGGUUGCCCUUGCCCUGAGUGGCUGGAUGCCUGGGCUGGGAGGGCAGCUGCCCACGCACCGACUGGACGGGCUCAGAGACGACCAUCCUGCCAUCCAUCUUGCCCCGCGCUCACCCCUUCUCCCCCCAAGUCAAUACGUCUCUCUCCGAUGGGAAAGUUAAUAAAUUUUGCUCUAGAUUAAAAGUAUUGAUCAUUUCAUUUGUAAACGAUAAAUAAAAAGGGGAACUUUUCAUUGCACCAGGGGUAGCGUCUGGUCUGUGUUGCGAGUGGAAUUGCGCCGGCCGGCCGGGGGGAGGGCUCCUUGUAUGCAUCCCGGCCGGCCAGCGCAUCGAUUUCCUAUUAGUCUCCCAGCACCACCCAGUACCACAUCAUUCCAGUACCUGC
Molecule: long non-coding RNA, 1451 nt
Organism: Bos taurus (domestic cattle)
Lineage: Eukaryota; Metazoa; Chordata; Mammalia; Artiodactyla; Bovidae
Source: Ensembl